GGUCACUCGUGAAAUAAAAAAAAAAUGUUUACUAAUCUCUGCUUUCUCAUGCGCGUGCAGUGAUACGAGAACAGCAGUGCACGUGUUCUGCGAUGUGUGUGUGUUUGUGUGUGUGUGUGUGUGUGUGUGGCGGGGUGAGGAGCCGCGUAAGUCAGUGUGGUCUUGGACUCGGUGAGAGACGGACCGUCGCGAGCGUUGGUGUGCGCGCGUGUGCGUGUACUUUAAACGUGUUAUUGUGUGGGUAGUGCGUGCCUGUGAAGUGUUUUGUAUUGUGCAGGACACGAAUGGUAGUAACAUCAGCCUCAACCUCACCCAUAACAAGGCGUUGUGAUCUCCACCUGAUGGUGAACAAGAAGUGAGGACAGGUGUGCAAGUGGGCGUGUGGGCGCCGCUCAGUGCGAGCGGCUCGAGGCAUUGUGCAACUACAGCAGCAGGGGUGCGUGAGGCGUAGCAGGCCAGUGGUGAGUGGCGUCGCCCCGCUGAGCGGGGCAUGUAAACUAGCGGGAUGAUCCGCUGGCGCUGUAUGCUGGCGCGGGCGUGAUGCUGGAACUGAUGGAGUCUUCGGGCGGCUGUGGCGGCCUGGGGUCGGGCGGCAAAGGCGGACGUUUGCCAGCGCGCAUUAGCGGCUCGUCGACGCCACCGUCUCGCAGCAGCCCGAGCCAUAGUCGGGAAGGCAGUCCCCUGCUGCUGAAAAGGGGUUUCCACCCUCCGCUGGCCGGCCAGCUGUCUGCUCCCCCGUCCAGCAGUACCACGAGCGGAUCCAUGCUACCCUCAAGCGAUCCAACUCUCUGAAGCGGCUCCUCAAACUACCAAUCUUCGGCGGCCAGACAGGUAUGUGAUGGUGACGACACGUGGCUGCCUAGUGAGUACUGAGAGGGAGGGGUAAGUAGAGAGAGAGAGAGAGAGUGGAGGGACAAGGAGGGAGAAGGAGAGGGGGAGAGAAGGAUGGAGAGGAAGAUGGGAGAGGGAGAGGGAGUGGGCGGGACAGAGGGAGAAAGAACAUUGUUGUUGUCUCGUCUCACAAUGCAAACCUUGUUUAUGAUUACAAACAUGUCUCGUGUUGUCCUGGUGUCGGUGUUGAUGAUGGUGGUAAUGGUGAUAAUCUUGAUGUUGAUGAUUAAGAUGAGGAUAAUGGUAGUGGUGUGGUGAUGUUGGGGUGGUAAUGGUGAUAGUGGCUGUGAUGAUGAUGGUGGUGGUGGUGGUAGUGGUGGGGAUGAUGGGGGUGACCACAGAGUGGCAGAGGUGACUGUAAUGGCAUAAAUUAUGGUGAUAAUGAUGAUUAUAAUAUUUUGAUGCUGAUGAUGGCAUAUUUAAUUUAAUUUAUCUGUUUUCAUCCUCUUUUCCCAAAAUUCAGUAAUUCCCCUCCCAUCCACUACCUCUCAUCGCCUCCUCCCGCUGUAUUCCCUACCCUUUCACUGUGUCCUAAAAUCAGCCCCAACAACCCCCACCUCCCCGUAUUGGGCCAUUACACCUCUGCCUCGCGGGGCUGUUUAUCCUCCAUCUCCCCCUCCCCACCUUCAUCAAUCAGGCCGCCACUGAGAGAGGGAGGAGGGUAAUAAGAUAGGUGGAAAGAUAUGUACGGAGAGAGAGAGAGAGAGAGAGAGAGAGAGAGAGAGAGAGAGAGAGAGAGAGAGAGAGAGAGAGAGAGAGAGAGAGAGAGAGAGAGAGAGAGAGAACGAACAUCCUCUACUAUAGGUAGAUAAUGAACAACAGGUAAGGGAAGUAAGAAAGACCACGUUUUCUAUUCACCUGCCAAGAAUGAUGGGAACCUGCACACACACACACACACACACACACACACACACACACACACACACACACACACACACACACACACACACACACACACACACACACACACACACACACACACACACACACACACACACACACACACACA
Molecule: long non-coding RNA, 1900 nt
Organism: Scylla paramamosain (green mud crab)
Lineage: Eukaryota; Metazoa; Arthropoda; Malacostraca; Decapoda; Portunidae
Exons: 3
Source: RefSeq, a predicted model, not a curated record